UCCGGUUUGUCACCGGCAGUCCCAUUAGAGUGCUCAACUAAAUGUGGCAACUAAUGGCAAGGGUUGCGCUCGUUGCGGGACUUAACCCAACAUCUCACGACACGAGCUGACGACAGCCAUGCAGCACCUGUCUCCGCGCCCCUUGCGGGGACCACCCAUCUCUGGGCUUAGCACGGGAUGUCAAGGCCUGGUAAGGUUCUGCGCGUUGCGUCGAAUUAAACCACAUGCUCCACCGUUGUGUCCCCGUCAAUUCCUUUGAGUUUUAGUCUUGCGACCGUACUCCCCAGGCGGAUGACUUCUCGCGUUAGCUGCGUUACCAAGUCAAUUAAGACCCGACAACUAGUAGACAUCGUUUAGGGCGUGGACUAC
This 369-nucleotide unclassified non-coding RNA is filed under the name uncultured Pseudomonadota bacterium. RNAcentral describes it as "uncultured proteobacterium contains 16S-23S intergenic spacer region". Lineage: Bacteria; Pseudomonadati; Pseudomonadota. The record is from RNAcentral.